GGAGGUAUGGUUCUGUGUUAGAGUUUCUGCCUAGCAAGCAUGAAUUCUUGAGUUUGAAUCCCAGUACUUUUG
RNAcentral lists this transfer RNA (72 nucleotides) under Dipodomys ordii (Ord's kangaroo rat). It matches the Rfam family "tRNA". Rfam says of the family: Transfer RNA (tRNA) molecules are approximately 80 nucleotides in length. Their secondary structure includes four short double-helical elements and three loops (D, anti-codon, and T loops). Further hydrogen bonds mediate the characteristic L-shaped molecular structure. tRNAs have two regions of fundamental functional importance: the anti-codon, which is responsible for specific mRNA codon recognition, and the 3' end, to which the tRNAs corresponding amino acid is attached (by aminoacyl-tRNA synthetases). tRNAs cope with the degeneracy of the genetic code in two manners: having more than one tRNA (with a specific anti-codon) for a particular amino acid; and 'wobble' base-pairing, i.e. permitting non-standard base-pairing at the 3rd anti-codon position. The record is from Rfam by way of RNAcentral. Lineage: Eukaryota; Metazoa; Chordata; Mammalia; Rodentia; Heteromyidae.